Dermacentor albipictus is the source of this 565-nucleotide long non-coding RNA. RefSeq lists it as uncharacterized. NCBI's taxonomy places the organism in Eukaryota, Metazoa, Arthropoda, Arachnida, Ixodida, Ixodidae. The record is from RefSeq and is a predicted model, not a curated record.
GGCAGUAGCUAAGCGCUGUCGUCGGGACGAAGAGUUGUUGCUGUUUGAUAAAGACAGCAGCUGUAGCACAGAUUCGAGCACAAGGUCCUCUUCGGACAGCAGCGGCGACGACGAGAAUUUAGCAUUGUAUGAGCAGAUGUUCGAGCAGCUUUUUCCCCGCCGUAGAAGCGACCGAAGGUCGAGUCGUAUGUGGAAAAGACGGUCGCCGCUUCUUCGGACGAAGAGGUAUGCUGCCAAUAAAUCCUGCAUACGGGAUGUCGCAGGGCGAUCUGAGGUUUGGGAAAGCACGCAUCACAGGAUGAUGUACCGCGUCAUGGUGUUUCUUCUGGACAUCGCACCCCGCAUCGUGACCUUCCCAGAUGACUUGCAGAAGCUUGCUAAUGCGUUUGAACAGGGGCUCUUCAAGCCGGCGUAGAACAGUACACUGACCAAUGCCCGCGGUGCCAGGAUGCCCCCACGCUCCACCAAAUAACGUGGGCCUGCCAGAAAACAAAUGCGGCACCAAUAAUACCCAAAUGCGAGUGCGCAACCAUGGGAAGGAAUGCUCUCCAGCGACCGUCAGAAC